GCCGGUGUGGUGGAAUUAGGCAGACACGCUAGUCUUAGGAACUAGUUCUUCGGAGUGCAGGUUCGAGUCCUGUCACCGGUAC
This 82-nucleotide transfer RNA is filed under the name Streptomyces phage BillNye. RNAcentral's name for it is "tRNA-Leu". It matches the Rfam family "tRNA". From Rfam's summary of the family: Transfer RNA (tRNA) molecules are approximately 80 nucleotides in length. Lineage: Duplodnaviria; Heunggongvirae; Uroviricota; Caudoviricetes; Stanwilliamsviridae. RNAcentral also lists the same sequence under 2 other names. The record is from RNAcentral.